Molecule: long non-coding RNA, 2320 nt
Organism: Synchiropus splendidus (mandarinfish)
Lineage: Eukaryota; Metazoa; Chordata; Actinopteri; Syngnathiformes; Callionymidae
Exons: 4
Source: RefSeq, a predicted model, not a curated record
AUUACUUUUAAUCUGGGUAAUUAUUACCGCAGAAACAAUCAGGUGUUAAUCCCUGGUGAGCAAUCGUGAGAUGCUCUUAUGUUCAACCAGUCGCUACAUCUUCUGCAUUCAACACGAGCCACUUCGAGCAACAACACAUGUUGCGUGACUGCAAGUCCGGGUCCUGGCGAUCCCAGUCUGGUGGAAUGUGCUGUCCAGUUUGGAGGAGAGGUUCUUCCUCCGAGAGUGGAGGUCAAGGUUCACAGUUCAGGGAAACCUGGAGCAUGAGAUUGAUAGAUAGAUUGAUGCGGCAUCUUCCCUCAUACACAGUGUUGGUGAAGAAAGAGCUGAGCCAGUCAUGGAGUUUGGACCUGCCCCGCGACUCAACUUCAGAUAAGCUGUGUAUAUAUUUGGAAGUUACUCACCAAACGAAGAAUAUAUAAAAGAGUAUGAGGUGAUUCAGGAUAUGAAGCCCAAGACUAUUGCACAGAGAGCGCCAUCUGUCUGGAACACAAGGAGGGCUGAAAAAUCAAGGCCAUUAUCUCCAACAUGUCGAGAGAAAGCAGGAAAUCGGUGCAUUAGAGGACGACGUGGAGCAUCAGCCGCGGCGGGGAUGAUGGGAGCGAGUGUGCGAGAGCGUCUCUGCGCGCGUGUGUCACGCAGAGAGACGCACAGCUGGAUCCGCCAGGACAACGGUGUCAGCCAGCCAACGAGCCGGCGUGCUCGCCGUCCCUCGCUGUUCUCCCUCGCCGACCUCCUGCGGGCCUCAUUAGGAGAGCGUGCAGAUAGCUUCUCCUCCCCCAACUCUCACUGCAUCACGUUGAGAGAGCGAGAGCGAGGUGGAAAAUAACAACGAGUCAGGUGCUAAAUGUGAACAUGGAUUAGUUACUAUGCCAACGGCGCGAGGACGCACUCGCAGAGCCAGCCAGCCAGGGUCCCUGCAAGACACUUGUUUUCUGUCCCUCUUGUUUUCUUUUCUCCCUUCCCCUCCCCUCCUUGCUCUCUAUCGGCCGGGGAGAUAAGACUGAGACUUGUGCCUGGUAUUAAACCUUAUCUCUCCAGAUGGGGCUGAGGCCUGCUGCAUUUGACAACACAGACGCUCCGCUACAUCUAAAACAUGCCUCCGUUUAAUGGCCACCCAUUAGCAUCAUUUGCCGACGACAAUCUGUUGAGUUCUGACUGGCAAUAUUUACUUACGUAGGUGCUGUGAUACCGUUCACGUCAUGCUCACACGACGCACUCAGGAUUGUUUUCAUUUUAAGAAGUUUAUUUGGACGUUAGUAUCCGAACAAAAGCUGUAUUUUGCGAGGAUAUUUAUAUAGUAUUUUGAAGUAAAAUAAACAAGCAUACAACGUAGCAAAAAGCAGCUCAGGUACAUCCACAUUGGAGAUUAAUAUCAGUCCAAUUGCUUUGCCCAAUACUUGUUACUUCAUUUAUAUAAACUUUUUAAGCAUUAAAAUAGGAUUAGUGUGAGCGCCGGUAGUAGAUUAGGUGGAUCCAUUUGUGCCUCCCAAAACCUGCCUGAUUGAUUGACCAAUUCUCCAUUUAAAAUAAACUUAAAUAGCUACACAACGAAAUAAAAUCUGAAAAUGUUGAUGUUUACUAUGUUGUGUUUACCUACAAUUUACUCAAAGGAAUAGCAACAGGGACUACAAAAAUGGCCGCCAUGCAGUGCCUGUGAUUCUGUUGCGGUUUCAACUGAUUAAAAACCUCAGUCCCUCAAGCAUUUUGAGCAACCUAAAAAAUGUCCACCUUACACGGUCACACGGUUCGAGGAACAGUGUGUUCUCUGGGAAUAUAGUGGUUCAUUUGUGUGAAACUGUCCAUUGUGGAUUGUUUGCUGCAUAGGCAGAGUUGAGUAGAACUUGGCUGCAUCUUGAAAAACAAACUUGAUCCACUGAGCCUUCGAGUCUUUACGAUAGACAAAUACACAGUCCUCCUCCUCAUUGCUGAAAACACACUUCCUCUCCUCUCAGGAGAAGAUGUAACUGUGGUAAAGAGGCAGCCAUUAGCGCAACAGUGGAGGUAUUUGGAGGUAUUAAUAUGGUGUGGCGCAUCAUUGAUCCCAUCAUUAUUGAGUUGCACUUGACCUCCUGACGUCAUGACAAUCUGUAGUCAAAUGAAUUGGGUAAAAUGUAGCGUAUCCGAGGCUUCAAAAUCCAUGUUUGACCCAUGUGUGAGCUAGAUUUCUUAUUUCAGUGAGAAGUGACCAACAUGCAGCAAGUAGCAAUAACAUUUUUCAAAAGUUCUGGUCCAUUACUAAAGACCUGAAGACUCUCUGCAGGUGGUCACGGCAGGUGUACACCCUGUCUUUCAGGUGUUGCCUCCUCAAGUGGUCGCC